RNAcentral lists this ribosomal RNA (878 nucleotides) under uncultured marine microorganism. Its description in RNAcentral is "bacterial SSU rRNA". It matches the Rfam family "Bacterial small subunit ribosomal RNA", at positions 8 to 930 of the family's 1533-position model. The record is from RNAcentral.
AGAGUUUGAUCCUGGCUCAGGAUGAACGCUGGCGGUAUGCCUAACACAUGCAAGUCGAACGAUGUCUUCGGACAUAGUGGCGGACGGGUGAGUAACGCGUGAGAAUCUGCCUCUAGGAUGGGGAUAACGGUUGGAAACGACCGCUAACACCCAAUAUGCCGUAAGGUGAAAAAUUUAUUGCCUGGAGAGGAGCUCGCGUCUGAUUAGCUAGUUGGUGGGGUAAGAGCUCACCAAGGCCUCGAUCAGUAGCUGGUCUGAGAGGAUGAGCAGCCACACUGGGACUGAGACACGGCCCAGACUCCUACGGGAGGCAGCAGUGGGGAAUUUUCCGCAAUGGGCGAAAGCCUGACGGAGCAAUACCGCGUGAGGGAGGAAUGCCUUUGGGUUGUAAACCUCUUUUCUCAGGGAAGAAGAUCUGACGGUACCUGAGGAAUAAGUAUCGGCUAACUCCGUGCCAGCAGCCGCGGUAAUACGGAGGAUGCAAGCGUUAUCCGGAAUCAUUGGGCGUAAAGCGUCCGCAGGUGGUUUCCAAAGUCUGCUGUUAAAGACUGGAGCUCAACUCCGGAACGGCGGUGGAAACUUGGAAACUAGAGUUCGGUAGGGGUAGCAGGAAUUCCCAGUGUAGCGGUGAAAUGCGUAGAUAUUGGGAAGAACAUCGGUGGCGAAGGCGUGCUACUGGACCGUAACUGACACUCAGGGACGAAAGCUAGGGGAGCGAAAGGGAUUAGAUACCCCUGUAGUCCUAGCUGUAAACGAUGGAAACUAGGUGUGGCUUGUAUCGACCCGAGCCGUGCCGUANCUAACGCGUUAAGUUUCCCGNCUGGGGAGUACGCACGCAAGUGUGAAACUCAAAGGAAUUGACGGGGGCCCGCACNAGC